RNAcentral lists this ribosomal RNA (492 nucleotides) under uncultured bacterium. Its description in RNAcentral is "partial 16S ribosomal RNA". It matches the Rfam family "Bacterial small subunit ribosomal RNA", at positions 29 to 507 of the family's 1533-position model. The record is from RNAcentral.
AGUGAACGCUGGCGGUAGGCCUAACACAUGCAAGUCGAACGGCAGCACAGUAAUAGCUUGCUCUUACGGGUGGCGAGUGGCGGACGGGUGAGGAAUACAUCGGAAUCUACUUUUUCGUGGGGGAUAACGUAGGGAAACUUACGCUAAUACCGCAUACGACCUACGGGUGAAAGCAGGGGAUCUUUGGACCUUGCGCGAUUGAAUGAGCCGAUGUCGGAUUAGCUAGUUGGCGGGGUAAAGGCCCACCAAGGCGACGAUCCGUAGCUGGUCUGAGAGGAUGAUCAGCCACACUGGAAGUGAGACACGGUCCAGACUCCUACGGGAGGCAGCAGUGGGGAAUAUUGGGCAAUGGGCGCAAGCCUGAUCCAGCCAUACCGCGUGGGUGAAGAAGGCCUUCGGGUUGUAAAGCCCUUUUGUUGGGAAAGAAAAGCAGCAGGUUAAUACCCCGCUGUUCUGACGGUACCCAAAGAAUAAGCACCGGCUAACUUCGUG